Molecule: ribosomal RNA, 1682 nt
Rfam family: Bacterial small subunit ribosomal RNA
UCCUUUGAUUUUGAGGAAGGUUUAAAGCUAGCGGCACUUUUAAUACAUGCUAGUCAAACGGGGAAUAAAACCCCCGUGGCAAACAGGUGAGUAAUGUACCGAUUUUGCCCAAAAGUGAGGGCAAAAACCCCAGGGGGGCGGGGGCGCCUUCGGCGCCCCCGCCCCCGGAAAUUGAGGGGACCCACCUCAGGCGUCCGUUUGCUUUUGGAGAGAUCGGAAUUCGUAUUAGACGAGGAACGGGGAGCCGAAGGGCUCCCCAUAGUAUUCUUGGAUGGGGGAGCCGAAGGGCCCCCCCAAAAUAGAUUUUUCCUCUGUCAAUGAUGCGUAGCUGAAAGGUCACAGUUAUACUGAAACAAGGAUAACCGCGCUAAUGCGCGCCAGCAGUAGAGAAUUUUGGGCAAUCAACGAAAGUUGGACCCAGAGAUGUCGCUUUUUUGGGGGAUUCGGCAAAUCCCAAGAGGGGGAACGGAGAGCCCUUCGGGCUCUCCCCGCUUCCGGGCCCCUUUUCCCCCGCUUUUAAGUCCGUCAAAAAGACGUGCCAGCAGACGCGGUUAUACGUCUGGACUAAGUUUUAGCCAGAAAACAGGCGUAAAGUGUGAAGAGGGUGAGCGAAAAAGAAGGCGCGGUUUUUAAAAGAAAAAAUCCCGCUUUUAUAUAGAGAAAAAAAAGGUAAUUGGAACUUUUAGGUAUUGGUGAAAUAAUUCGAUCUAAAAAGGAACACCGGAGACGAAGGUUAAUUACCAAAAAGUUCUGUCGCUUUUUUCACGAAAACAUAGGGAGCAAACAGGAUUAGAUACCCUGGUAGUCUAUUGUUGUAAAAGCUGAUCUAACGCGGCAAAAUUUUUAUGUCGCCUUGAUAACUCGAAAAGAUUCCGCCUGAAUAGUACGACCGCAAGGUUGAAAUUCAAAAAAUUUGGCGGUUCACUAAUCCAAUUAGAGGAGCGUGUAGUUUAAUGCGAUGAUCCGCGAAUAACCUUACCAGAACUUGAAUAAAAGGAAUAGGCAGGGGCGCCGUAGGCGCUUUUUUUGCUCCAGAACGGUUCCCCCCGGCCCGGCCCUCGUGUGGGCCCCUUUUACAGGUAUCGCACGGCCGUCGUCAGUUUGUGUUGUGAAACUUUUUUAACGAACUUAACCCCUUUUUUAGAUAAAAAGGGGACAAAAAGAGGGGAAAAAAUUUUUUAACCAGUUGGGGAUCCAAAGGGGGGUCCGUAGGAUCCCACCUUUGCCUCCCCCCCCCUUUUUUAUCUAUUUAUUUGGGAUGACGUCAGGUCCUCAUGGUCCUAAUGUUCUGGGCCCGGGGGGAUCCUUCGGAUCCCCCCUUUAUGCGCUACAAUCUUUUUCACAAAAAUGAAUAUUCUCUUCGUUUACAAUUCUUUUUAAUAAAAAAGCUCGGAGAAAGGCCUGAAAAGUUCUUUUGAAGUUGGAUUUAAUAGUAAUCGUAAAGUAGAGCGUUACGGUGAAUAUGGCUCUAGUGUUCGUACAAAUCGCCCGUCAACUCGGCCGAGUUUUAAAAGUUCGAGAAGUCUAAGAGUUUCUCGGUAUAUAUCGAGGGAUCCUUUGGAUCCCGCCAACCCUGUUUGGUGUAUUACCUUCGCUUUUCCGAAAAGCUUUUUAUAUUUUGAGACUUUCGAAAUUAGGUUGAGUAAGUCGUAACAAAGCAAGAGUACUGGAAAGUGUUCUUG